RNAcentral lists this ribosomal RNA (495 nucleotides) under uncultured bacterium. RNAcentral's name for it is "partial 16S ribosomal RNA". It matches the Rfam family "Bacterial small subunit ribosomal RNA", at positions 28 to 507 of the family's 1533-position model. The record is from RNAcentral.
GACGAACGCUGGCGGCGUGCCUAAUACAUGCAAGUAGAACGCUGAAGGAGGAGCUUGCUUCUCCGGAUGAGUUGCGAACGGGUGAGUAACGCGUAGGUAACCUGCCUGGUAGCGGGGGAUAACUAUUGGAAACGAUAGCUAAUACCGCAUAAGAGUAGAUGUCGCAUGACAUUUGCUUAAAAGGUGCAACUGCACCACUACCAGAUGGACCUGCGUUGUAUUAGCUAGUUGGUGAGGUAACGGCUCACCAAGGCAACGAUACAUAGCCGACCUGAGAGGGGGAUCGGCCACACUGGGACUGGGACACGGCCCAGACUCCUACGGGAGGCAGCAGUAGGGAAUCUUCGGCAAUGGACGGAAGUCUGACCGAGCAACGCCGCGUGAGUGAAGAAGGUUUUCGGAUCGUAAAGCUCUGUUGUAAGAGAAGAACGAGUGUGAGAGUGGAAAGUUCACACUGUGACGGUAUCUUACCAGAAAGGGACGGCUAACUACGUG